AUAACCUUUAAGACAGUCCCGUGAGGCUGAGAAGGAACAAGAUACGUUAUAUUUGGAUACGUGUAUUCAAAUCCCUUUUCUCGCGCGGAGAAAAGGGUUUUUUUAU
Molecule: regulatory RNA element, 106 nt
Organism: Amphibacillus xylanus NBRC 15112
Lineage: Bacteria; Bacillati; Bacillota; Bacilli; Caryophanales; Bacillaceae
Rfam family: PyrR binding site
About the family: This family represents the PyrR binding site and terminator structure. This RNA structure is found upstream of a variety of genes involved in pyrimidine biosynthesis and transport.
Source: Rfam